Molecule: ribosomal RNA, 435 nt
Filed under: uncultured Flavobacterium sp.
Lineage: Bacteria; Pseudomonadati; Bacteroidota; Flavobacteriia; Flavobacteriales; Flavobacteriaceae
Description: bacterial SSU rRNA
Rfam family: Bacterial small subunit ribosomal RNA
Source: RNAcentral
GGAAUAUUGGACAAUGGGCGCAAGCCUGAUCCAGCCAUGCCGCGUGCAGGAUGACGGUCCUAUGGAUUGUAAACUGCUUUUAUACAGGAAGAAACACUGGUUCGUGAACCAGCUUGACGGUACUGUAAGAAUAAGGAUCGGCUAACUCCGUGCCAGCAGCCGCGGUAAUACGGAGGAUCCAAGCGUUAUCCGGAAUCAUUGGGUUUAAAGGGUCCGUAGGCGGUUUAAUAAGUCAGUGGUGAAAGCCCAUCGCUCAACGGUGGAACGGCCAUUGAUACUGUUAGACUUGAAUUAUUAGGAAGUAACUAGAAUAUGUAGUGUAGCGGUGAAAUGCUUAGAGAUUACAUGGAAUACCAAUUGCGAAGGCAGGUUACUACUAAUUGAUUGACGCUGAUGGACGAAAGCGUGGGUAGCGAACAGGAUUAGAUACCCUAG